This is a long non-coding RNA of Amblyraja radiata (thorny skate), 140 nucleotides long. RefSeq lists it as uncharacterized. The transcript is spliced from 3 exons. NCBI's taxonomy places the organism in Eukaryota, Metazoa, Chordata, Chondrichthyes, Rajiformes, Rajidae. The record is from RefSeq and is a predicted model, not a curated record.
UUGCUACCAAAGUGGAUAACCUCACAUUUAUCCACAUUAAAUUGCAUUUUCCAUGCAUCUGCCCACUCACUCAACCUGUCCAAGUCACCCUGCAUUCUCAUAACAUCCCCCUCACAGUUGACACUGCCACUCAGCUUUGU